This 496-nucleotide ribosomal RNA is filed under the name uncultured bacterium. RNAcentral describes it as "partial 16S ribosomal RNA". It matches the Rfam family "Bacterial small subunit ribosomal RNA", at positions 28 to 507 of the family's 1533-position model. The record is from RNAcentral.
GAUGAACGCUGGCGGCGUGCCUAAUACAUGCAAGUCGAGCGAGCGGACGAGAAGCUUGCUUUUCUGAUGUUAGCGGCGGACGGGUGAGUAACACGUGGAUAACCUACCUAUAAGACUGGGAUAACUUCGGGAAACCGGAGCUAAUACCGGAUAAUAUUUUGAACCGCAUGGUUCAAAAGUGAAAGACGGUCUUGCUGUCACUUAUAGAUGGAUCCGCGCUGCAUUAGCUAGUUGGUAAGGUAACGGCUUACCAAGGCAACGAUGCAUAGUGACCUGAGAGGGUGAUCGGCCACACUGGAACUGAGACACGGUCCAGACUCCUACGGGAGGCAGCAGUAGGGAAUCUUCCGCAAUGGGCGAAAGCCUGACGGAGCAACGCCGCGUGAGUGAUGAAGGUCUUCGGAUCGUAAAACUCUGUUAUUAGGGAAGAACAUAUGUGUAAGUAACUGUGCACAUCUUGACGGUACCUAAUCAGAAAGCCACGGCUAACUACGUG